CCUACGGGUGGCAGCAGUGGGGAAUAUUGCACAAUGGGGGAAACCCUGAUGCAGCGACGCCGCGUGUGGGAAGACGGUCUUCUGGAUUGUAAACCACUGUCCCCAGGGACGAAAAUGACGGAACCUGGGGAGGAAGCUCCGGCCAACUACGUGCCAGCAGCCGCGGUAAUACGUAGGGAGCAAGCGUUGUCCGGAAUUACUGGGUGUAAAGGGAGCGUAGGCGGGGAUGCAAGUUGGGUGUCAAAACUACCGGCUCAACCGAUAGUCGCACUCAAAACUGGAGCUCUUGAGUGAAGUAGAGGCAGGCGGAAUUCCUAGUGUAGCGGUGAAAUGCGUAGAUAUUAGGAGGAACACCAGUGGCGAAGGCGGCCUGCUGGGCUUUUACUGACGCUGAGGCUCGAAAGUGUGGGGAGCAAACAGGAUUAGAUACCCCAGUAGUC
Molecule: ribosomal RNA, 440 nt
Filed under: uncultured bacterium
Lineage: Bacteria
Description: partial 16S ribosomal RNA
Rfam family: Bacterial small subunit ribosomal RNA
Source: RNAcentral